This 388-nucleotide ribosomal RNA is filed under the name uncultured bacterium. Its description in RNAcentral is "bacterial SSU rRNA". It matches the Rfam family "Bacterial small subunit ribosomal RNA", at positions 28 to 424 of the family's 1533-position model. The record is from RNAcentral.
GACGAACGCUGGCGGCGUGCCUAACACAUGCAAGUCGAACGGGGGUAGCAAUACCUCAGUGGCGAACGGGUGCGUAACACGUGAAGAAUUUGUCUAACGGCGGGGGAUAGCCGGCCCAACGGCCGGGUAAUACCGCGUACGACCUCUGGAGGGCAUCCUCUGGUGGUGAAAGCCGCAAGGCGCCGAUAGAGAACUUCGCGGCCUAUCAGCUAGUUGGCGGGGUAAUGGCCCACCAAGGCGACGACGGGUAGCUGGUCCGAGAGGAUGACCAGCCACAUUGGGACUGAGACACGGCCCAGACUCCUACGGGAGGCAGCAGUGGGGAAUAUUGCGCAAUGGGCGAAAAGCCUGACGCAGCGACGCCGCGUGUGGGAUGACGGCCUCGGUU